CCCCUUGUCCAGCCCUGGCAAUCACCAAUCUAUCUAAUUUGUCUGCUCAGGAUGGUUCACAUGAGGCUUUAUGAGACACCCUCCCUCCAGACUGCAAAAUGCUCCUGGGAGACCCUGACAUGGCUUGGAAUCUUCAGAAGUCACUGCACUGACAGACAGAUCACAUGAGAAUAACAGACUCAGCUGGAAGAGGCACUACUGGCAAGGAUCAAAAUGUCCCAUGCAGUCCCAGAAAGUGAAGUCUGUGUGGCUAAUAGACAAGUGGGUUUCCAGGCCCCUUGGAGGAAGAGCAGACAAGCCUAAAAUUUUAUGCCUGAGAGCUCCGCUGACAUGUACUGGAAGGCAAAGGCAUUUAUCACCCAGUGUCACAUGGCAGGGUCAUAAACAGUUAAUCUUCAGCAAAGCGCAGAAGGAAGCAUUGUUGGAGACCCCUUCCAACAGAAAGAACACAUUAGGCUUAACUACCAGGUGCAUCUUUAAAUGCCGGUUACUACUCACAUUGCCGCACAGACCCGUCUGUGAAGCUAGUGGGUGGAGAUGCUGGGUGGUAUCACCGGCUUCAGAAUUGCAUCCCCCAGAGUGCCUCUCUGGAGACUAGAAGAGGGGAGGGAUCCUUGGGGUUGGCCAUUCUUGCCCCAGCUUUUUAUGUGGUCUGCAUGGGAGCAGCCACAGGCUAGGCUUCCCUUUUUGCUUGGAUUUCUAACCAGACCCUCUUCCUGCAAUGCUAAACUGACUGUUUGUUUCUGCAGGGGUUGCACCCAAACAGCUAUGGUCUGGGCCCCUCAUCACCUGAGACUUGAGUCUGAGAAUGGCAUGCGGUGCCUCAGCCAUCUCAGAACAAACACAUAUCUGGGAGCUAUGGCACUUUUGACUUUCCUAGUGGCCUCUACCUCUUGUCAUGAUCUCUGCAUAGCUCCAGGCAUACCUUGUCCCAGUUGUGAGCUCCUAAUUAUGGCUAUUCCUGCAAAUACUGUUGCAUGAUAUGUAUUUUGCAUGUUUUGUAAGAAACAACCUCUGAGUUUAUUUUUUCAAAAUAAAGAUGGAGACAGUAAAGAUGCGGAGGGACCUUGAAACUACAGUCUGCACCCCCUACUUGCUGGUCACAGGUCUGUCACAUCUGAGCUGCUGUGACCUGCAGCAUGCUCCUCUCUGGCCAUUCAGGCGGGAGGUCCUGAGUCCUUGUCUCCUGCUGGUGGGCUUCUAUGUAUCCUGGGACAAUGGGGGUGAUGACUAGCUUGUUUUGGAGGAGGGGUCCUCAAUUUGCAUUUCAA
Long non-coding RNA from Peromyscus maniculatus bairdii (prairie deer mouse), 1271 nucleotides. RefSeq lists it as uncharacterized. The record is from RefSeq and is a predicted model, not a curated record. NCBI's taxonomy places the organism in Eukaryota, Metazoa, Chordata, Mammalia, Rodentia, Cricetidae.